AUUCAGUUGAUGUUUUAUCUAAUUUUUCAUCAUUAUGUAUUAUUUUUCUUUUGGGACAACAAAACUGAAAGUCUGCAGAAAAUCUGUUUUGUUAUCAUAGAUUAAUCUAAAGCAAUUGACAUCUAUUUUAAUAAACAAUAAACAUGGAUGGUGAGACAAGCACAAUAAACUAUAAAUGGCAUAUCUUCAGUCUGAUUAUUCCAAAAAAUACCAGGAUUUGCUCAUAUCCAUUUUCUACACGAAAAAAUCUUAGUUUUGAUAUCAGUAUCCGAACAAAACAGCUUCACUGGAAACAUGCGCCAUGUCUACGUUCAUAAGACUUAUAAAAAAUUUUUUC
RNAcentral lists this long non-coding RNA (337 nucleotides) under Cotesia glomerata. RNAcentral describes it as "uncharacterized LOC123274345, transcript variant X3". The record is from RNAcentral. Lineage: Eukaryota; Metazoa; Arthropoda; Insecta; Hymenoptera; Braconidae.